RNAcentral lists this long non-coding RNA (490 nucleotides) under Ananas comosus (pineapple). Its description in RNAcentral is "long non-coding RNA (ACOM_LNC010102)". The record is from RNAcentral. Lineage: Eukaryota; Viridiplantae; Streptophyta; Magnoliopsida; Poales; Bromeliaceae.
UGUUUAUACUUGUGAUGCUUGCUCUUGUAAUGUUCGGCACUGGUUGUGCCCUCGCUAUUGUUUUGAUCAUGUAUGUAUUCAAGUUGAUUUUCUGGGAACUUGUUGUACAUGAUCCUGUUGUUUAGCCUUGGGCGGACAGGGGAGGUGAUGUCCGUUCGGCAUCUAUUUGACGUGCCCGGACCGGACGAAAUUGCUAUCGGUCGCGGGGCAUGACAAAGGCGGUUCGUGGAUUCGGAUCGUGGGCUCAUGGAUUCGAGUGGGCGUCGUGGAUUCGACGUGAUCGAGGCUUCGUGGAUUCGAAGUGGUGACGUUUCGUGGAUUCGGGAGGUGGCGUUCGUGGAUUCGGACAUGGGGUGUGGACAACCCGUUGGUGUGUGCGAGAUCUGAAGAAGAUAAAAGAGAGGUUUGAGUCUGUGGAUUCGGUAAAUCACUUUGUUAUCUUUUAUUCUUAGUGGAUUGUUAUCGCGUGUUGGUCUCGUGAUUUUUUUUA